Molecule: ribosomal RNA, 305 nt
Filed under: uncultured bacterium
Lineage: Bacteria
Description: bacterial SSU rRNA
Rfam family: Bacterial small subunit ribosomal RNA
Source: RNAcentral
UUCCUACGGGACGCAGCAGUGGGGAAUAUUGCACAAUGGGGGAAACCCUGAUGCAGCGACGCCGCGUGAGUGAAGAAGUAUUUCGGUAUGUAAAGCUCUAUCCGCAGGGAAGAAAAUGACGGUACCUGAUUAAGAAGCCCCGGCUAACUACGUGCCAGCAGCCGCGGUAAUACGUAGGGGGCAAGCGUUAUCCGGAUUUACUGGGUGUAAAGGGAGCGUAGACGGCAAUACAAGUCGGAAGUGAAAUACCCGGGCUUAACCUGGGAACUGCUUUGGAAACUGUAUGGCUGGAGGGCUGGAGAGGU